This 497-nucleotide ribosomal RNA is filed under the name uncultured bacterium. RNAcentral describes it as "partial 16S ribosomal RNA". It matches the Rfam family "Bacterial small subunit ribosomal RNA", at positions 28 to 507 of the family's 1533-position model. The record is from RNAcentral.
GAUGAACGCUGGCGGCGUGCCUAAUACAUGCAAGUCGAGCGAACAGACGAGGAGCUUGCUCCUCUGACGUUAGCGGCGGACGGGUGAGUAACACGUGGAUAACCUACCUAUAAGACUGGGAUAACUUCGGGAAACCGGAGCUAAUGCCGGAUAAUAUAUUGAACCGCAUGGUUCAAUAGUGAAAGACGGUUUUGCUGUCACUUAUAGAUGGAUCCGCGCCGCAUUAGCUAGUUGGUAAGGUAACGGCUUACCAAGGCAACGAUGCGUAGCCGACCUGAGAGGGUGAUCGGCCACACUGGAACUGAGACACGGUCCAGACUCCUGCGGGAGGCAGCAGUAGGGAAUCUUCCGCAAUGGGCGAAAGCUUGACGGAGCAACGCCGCGUGAGUGAUGAAGGUCUUCGGAUCGUAAAACUCUGUUAUUAGGGAAGAACAAAUGUGUAAGUAACUAUGCACGUCUUGACGGUACCUAAUCAGAAAGCCACGGCUAACUACGUG